CUUUCUUCCUUUUGGUGCGAGCUUGCUGUGGUUUUUGCUCUGGGUCCUCUGGGAUGGCGCCUGGCUGUGGCCGCGUGGUCUCUCACGCAGGGGCGCCGGGCGGGGGAACGCGGCCACCCUGAGUCUGGUGGAAGAUGGAUGCCUGAAGUGUAGACUGCUGCUAGCUGAAUACCAUCUGGGAGCAUAAAGGUGACCUGAAGGAUGUCCUUGGUGAGGAUUUUGAAAAUUUGAUCUUCACAAGAGUUGCCUGGAUCAUUUGAAAUUUCUGGGAGUCUGAGGAGUACUGACAUAAUUACCUGCUGGAGUCUGUAAAUACACAUUUAAGACAGUGAGGAUGUGAAUAAAUAUAUUAAUG
Molecule: long non-coding RNA, 355 nt
Filed under: Homo sapiens (human)
Lineage: Eukaryota; Metazoa; Chordata; Mammalia; Primates; Hominidae
Description: HSALNT0328844
Source: RNAcentral